Molecule: ribosomal RNA, 1813 nt
Filed under: Staphylococcus aureus
Lineage: Bacteria; Bacillati; Bacillota; Bacilli; Caryophanales; Staphylococcaceae
Description: partial 23S ribosomal RNA
Rfam family: Bacterial large subunit ribosomal RNA
Source: RNAcentral
UGUUAAGUGGAAAAGGAUGUGGCGUUGCCCAGACAACUAGGAUGUUGGCUUAGAAGCAGCCAUCAUUUAAAGAGUGCGUAAUAGCUCACUAGUCGAGUGACACUGCGCCGAAAAUGUACCGGGGCUAAACAUAUUACCGAAGCUGUGGAUUGUCCUUUGGACAAUGGUAGGAGAGCGUUCUAAGGGCGUUGAAGCAUGAUCGUAAGGACAUGUGGAGCGCUUAGAAGUGAGAAUGCCGGUGUGAGUAGCGAAAGACGGGUGAGAAUCCCGUCCACCGAUUGACUAAGGUUUCCAGAGGAAGGCUCGUCCGCUCUGGGUUAGUCGGGUCCUAAGCUGAGGCCGACAGGCGUAGGCGAUGGAUAACAGGUUGAUAUUCCUGUACCACCUAUAAUCGUUUUAAUCGAUGGGGGGACGCAGUAGGAUAGGCGAAGCGUGCGAUUGGAUUGCACGUCUAAGCAGUAAGGCUGAGUAUUAGGCAAAUCCGGUACUCGUUAAGGCUGAGCUGUGAUGGGGAGAAGACAUUGUGUCUUCGAGUCGUUGAUUUCACACUGCCGAGAAAAGCCUCUAGAUAGAAAAUAGGUGCCCGUACCGCAAACCGACACAGGUAGUCAAGAUGAGAAUUCUAAGGUGAGCGAGCGAACUCUCGUUAAGGAACUCGGCAAAAUGACCCCGUAACUUCGGGAGAAGGGGUGCUCUUUAGGGUUAACGCCCAGAAGAGCCGCAGUGAAUAGGCCCAAGCGACUGUUUAUCAAAAACACAGGUCUCUGCUAAACCGUAAGGUGAUGUAUAGGGGCUGACGCCUGCCCGGUGCUGGAAGGUUAAGAGGAGUGGUUAGCUUCUGCGAAGCUACGAAUCGAAGCCCCAGUAAACGGCGGCCGUAACUAUAACGGUCCUAAGGUAGCGAAAUUCCUUGUCGGGUAAGUUCCGACCCGCACGAAAGGCGUAACGAUUUGGGCACUGUCUCAACGAGAGACUCGGUGAAAUCAUAGUACCUGUGAAGAUGCAGGUUACCCGCGACAGGACGGAAAGACCCCGUGGAGCUUUACUGUAGCCUGAUAUUGAAAUUCGGCACAGCUUGUACAGGAUAGGUAGGAGCCUUUGAAACGUGAGCGCUAGCUUACGUGGAGGCGCUGGUGGGAUACUACCCUAGCUGUGUUGGCUUUCUAACCCGCACCACUUAUCGUGGUGGGAGACAGUGUCAGGCGGGCAGUUUGACUGGGGCGGUCGCCUCCUAAAAGGUAACGGAGGCGCUCAAAGGUUCCCUCAGAAUGGUUGGAAAUCAUUCAUAGAGUGUAAAGGCAUAAGGGAGCUUGACUGCGAGACCUACAAGUCGAGCAGGGUCGAAAGACGGACUUAGUGAUCCGGUGGUUCCGCAUGGAAGGGCCAUCGCUCAACGGAUAAAAGCUACCCCGGGGAUAACAGGCUUAUCUCCCCCAAGAGUUCACAUCGACGGGGAGGUUUGGCACCUCGAUGUCGGCUCAUCGCAUCCUGGGGCUGUAGUCGGUCCCAAGGGUUGGGCUGUUCGCCCAUUAAAGCGGUACGCGAGCUGGGUUCAGAACGUCGUGAGACAGUUCGGUCCCUAUCCGUCGUGGGCGUAGGAAAUUUGAGAGGAGCUGUCCUUAGUACGAGAGGACCGGGAUGGACAUACCUCUGGUGUACCAGUUGUCGUGCCAACGGCAUAGCUGGGUAGCUAUGUGUGGACGGGAUAAGUGCUGAAAGCAUCUAAGCAUGAAGCCCCCCUCAAGAUGAGAUUUCCCAACUUCGGUUAUAAGAUCCCUCAAAGAUGAUGAGGUUAAUAGGUUCGAGGUGGAAG